UUUUUUUAUUGUCUUUCAAUGUUCGGUUACGUUUCCAAACCCUAGAAUGCAAACGUAAGCUGACAGGGUAUAAGCAAUGAAUAGGUGAUUUAUGGGCGAGAGAAUGGUACUUUGCAUGUCCUAUCUCAGGCGAAGUGAUAUGAUGUGUUGAAUAUGAGCCAUGGAGGUGGGGAGAGUGGAAGAUUGCUUGAAAAAUCACAACAUGCGAAGAGAAAAUCUGGUGCAAGUGGUGAUGAAUUCGCCCAAGCAAUUGCAAAGAUUGCUGUAGCUCAAAUAUGUGAGAGUGCUGGGUUUCAGACCUUUCAGCAGUCUGCUCUUGAAAUAUUAUCUGACGCCACCAUUCAGUAUAUAAGAAAUCUGGGAAAGCUUGCCCAAUCCUAUACAAAUUUAGCAGGCAGAACAAAUGUUAAUGCUCUUGAUGUUAUUCAAGGAUUGGAAGAGUUGGGUUCUUCACAGGGGUUUGCUGAUGCUUCUGAUAUUGAUCAUUGUAUUGCUAGUUCAGGUACGGUUAGGGAACUUGUUCAGUAUUUUAGUGAAGCAGAGGAUAUCCCAUUUGCCUAUUCUAUUCCUACUUUCCCUGUUGUUAGAGAAAGGAAGCCAGUUCCAAGUUUUUUGCAAAUUGGUGAGGAGCCUCCUCCGGAGCACAUUCCAGCUUGGCUACCUGCAUUUCCUGAUCCUCAAACUUAUGUUCAGUUGCCCACAGAGAAUGAAGGGGCCACUGAUUCUAACACACGGAAGUUUGAGCUGGCACGGCUGCACACAAGGACUGAUAGGUCUCUACCGAACUUGCAGAAUUAUACUGGCAAUGGGUCUGGGGGUCCUUCCUCUGUUGCCCCUGUUGGUGGUUCUGAGGCAAAACUAGCGGUUGAAGGUAACCCAUUUCUUGCUGCUCCAUUACAGUUUGGAGAGAAGGAAGUUUCCCAUGUUGUUCCUCCAGCUAAGCCUUCAAAUGAAGCUGCUGUGAGAAAUCUUAUUGAUCAAAAUUGCCUUCUGGAUAAUCAUGUGCCAGUGCUGGAUACAUUUGCUCCACCUAUUGAAGCAAUGAAGAGCUGGUCGUGUGAUUCUGAGGAUGGUCAGAAGAAGGUUCUUUUGAAUCAAAGACCUGCUGUACAAUUCAAGAUUGGGGUUGGCAAGAAGUCCUUGGGUAUAGCACUAGAAUUGAGCUCACAGAAUAAGGGUGUUGAGAAGAUGAGCCCAUGGUCUGGAAAGGAUAGUGAGAAGGAUGAUAAGAAAAUAAGGGCUGAGAAAAUUCUGAAACAGUCUACAGAUAACCCAAGGGAACUGGCUCAGUUGUAAAAUAGGUUUGAUUAGAAUCUGUAUACUUGUUUAGGAAACUAGCAGCAGAAGCUGGUUCCUGGUAGUUAAAGUCAAGGCUUGUGGUUGCCAGCAUAUGGCUUUAGGAGGGAAUUACAGAUUGUGAAGGGGAAUUUUUUUCCCACUUUAAGAAGUUUUGGAGAAUACGGUGAGGAAGAGACCGAAUUAUUGUGUCAAAACAGUUCUAUGAAAGUACUACUUGGAAAACAGUUGCCUGCGACACCCAGCAGAUGGCACUCGUAGACCAAUUGGCUCACCAGUCACAACCUCACUUAUUAGAUCUUUAAAGAUCAAGCGCUCAACACCCAGAACUAGCCAUGGAAUUUCACUUCUACAAGUCGUCCAAUGUGUUGAUUGAUGCAUCAAAUCUGCCUGUAAUAUGUUUAUCAAACUGUCAUUCUCAUCAUCUAAGCUGCAGCUAGAGGCAUUCCCUUGCAGUCUGUCUACCUCUAAGCAUAAUUCGCCCAAAAGCUGCUGUCCUCUUGGUCUUUUGUCUGCCAGCAUAUUUGGUGAGUGCCAAUGCUUGGAAGAACUUUCCAGACGUAACUUGUGUGCUAGAAUUUCAUUCACAACAUCAAAUACAAGUUUUCUUUGGAUUUUGAUAUGAUGUUCUGGCUGGAAAGUCUUUGUUCCGCUCUCUUCAUCAUUUGAAUGCGUGGUUUUUGCCUUAGCUUGUUCCAGAGCAAGGAAUAAGUUAGGGUUGACUGGGUAGCCUGUUUGUCGGAGGUGAAUGGCUGUAAAACCAGAUUCAAAAUCUCUAAGGAGACCUGAUGCUAAUAGGAUUUCUGAAAUGUAUUGAUGGUCUGGAUUUUGGCUACUGAAGUGGGGUGUAAUUUCAUCAAUGAUGAGUUCCUCCCGAGCAGAUAACAUCUGUGUAAGAUUCUGAAUUAAGAGAUGGACGGUCUCCAAUUUCCGAUGAUUGAUAAGAAGGUGGAGACUGGAGUUUGUGCUGCUGCUGGAAGAGUGAUUUAAGUCCCCUGAAUUCCACUCAAUCUCAUCUUCUGUAGCAAGAAAAUUGAACUGGGAAUUAAGAAAUAACGCAUUUUGCAAUAAAUACAUCCAUAAGAGUUCAAUCU
RNA transcript from Hevea brasiliensis (rubber tree), 2390 nucleotides. It is a transcript of the gene named transcription initiation factor TFIID subunit 8, with no coding region annotated. The record is from RefSeq and is a predicted model, not a curated record. The transcript has 3 exons. Lineage: Eukaryota; Viridiplantae; Streptophyta; Magnoliopsida; Malpighiales; Euphorbiaceae.